This 254-nucleotide ribosomal RNA is filed under the name uncultured bacterium. RNAcentral's name for it is "partial 16S ribosomal RNA". It matches the Rfam family "Bacterial small subunit ribosomal RNA", at positions 524 to 776 of the family's 1533-position model. The record is from RNAcentral.
CACGUAGGGGGCAAGCGUUGUCCGGAUUUAUUGGGCGUAAAGAGCUCGUAGGCGGCUCAGUAAGUCAGGUGUGAAACCUCCAGGCUCAACCUGGAGACGCCACCUGAUACUGCUGUGGCUAGAGUCCGGUAGGGGAGCGUGGAAUUCCUGGUGUAGCGGUGAGAUGCGCAGAUAUCAGGAGGAACACCAGCGGCGAAGGCGGCGCUCUGGGCCGGAACUGACGCUGAGGAGCGAAAGCGUGGGUAGCAAACAGG